Molecule: ribosomal RNA, 795 nt
Filed under: uncultured bacterium
Lineage: Bacteria
Description: bacterial SSU rRNA
Rfam family: Bacterial small subunit ribosomal RNA
Source: RNAcentral
AGAGUUUGAUCCUGGCUCAGAUUGAACGCUGGCGGCACGCCUAACACAUGCAAGUCGAGCGGUAACAGGAUCUGUAGCAAUACAGGUUGCUGACGAGCGGCGGACGGGUGAGUAAUACGUAGGAACUUGCCCUAUAGAGGGGGAUAACCAAGGGAAACUUUGGCUAAUACCGCAUGAACUCGGAAGAGUAAAGUUGCCGAAAGGUGACGCUAUAGGAGAGGCCUGCGUCCGAUUAGCUAGUUGGUGAGGUAAGAGCUCACCAAGGCGAUGAUCGGUAACUGGUCUGAGAGGACGACCAGUCACACUGGGACUGAGACACGGCCCAGACUCCUACGGGAGGCAGCAGUGGGGAAUAUUGGACAAUGGGGGCAACCCUGAUCCAGCGAUGCCGCGUGAGUGAAGAAGGCCUUCGGGUCGUAAAGCUCUUUAGGUUGGGAAGAAGUUUGUUGGGGGAUAAUCCCAGCAGAUUGACGGUACCGACAGAAUAAGCACCGGCAAGCUCUGUGCCAGCAGCCGCGGUAAUACAGAGGGUGCGAGCGUUAAUCGGAAUUACUGGGCGUAAAGGGCGCGUAGGCGGUUUUAUGGGUGUGAUGUGAAAGCCCUGGGCUUAACCUGGGAAGUGCAUCGCAAACUAUAGAACUGGAGUAUGUGAGAGGGUGGCGGAAUUUCCGGUGUAGCGGUGAAAUGCGUAGAGAUCGGAAGGAACGUCGAUGGCGAAGGCAGCCACCUGGCACAAUACUGACGCUGAAGCGCGAAAGCGUGGGGAGCGAACAGGAUUAGAUACCCUGGUAGUCG